ACCAAGGCUUUCUUAAAAGCUACCUUUUGAAUACAAAGAAGGGAUA
Non-coding RNA from Corchorus olitorius, 46 nucleotides. The record is from Rfam. NCBI's taxonomy places the organism in Eukaryota, Viridiplantae, Streptophyta, Magnoliopsida, Malvales, Malvaceae.